This is a small nucleolar RNA of Medicago truncatula (barrel medic), 76 nucleotides long. The record is from Rfam. NCBI's taxonomy places the organism in Eukaryota, Viridiplantae, Streptophyta, Magnoliopsida, Fabales, Fabaceae.
AAGAGAUAUGAUGAUAAUUAUCCCAAAUGUUCUGUUAUUGAUGAUGAAACAAACAUGCACUACCAUCUGAUCUCUU